ACUCAACGUUAAUUCUUUAAAAAGGAUGAGUUAAAGUUGUAAAAGCAAGCCACUAAUAUUGAUUUAUUCGGUAUUUGGGUGGAUCCUUGAUCAGCUUGUUAGUCCUAAACUUGUUUUUAAGGAGUUU
Molecule: small RNA, 127 nt
Filed under: Neotamlana nanhaiensis
Lineage: Bacteria; Pseudomonadati; Bacteroidota; Flavobacteriia; Flavobacteriales; Flavobacteriaceae
Description: Tamlana nanhaiensis 6S-Flavo RNA
Rfam family: 6S-Flavo RNA
Source: Rfam by way of RNAcentral